UGAACAUGUCAAGCCCAAUCAGUCCAUCGCCUGUGGGGGGUGGGGGGACAGCGAGGGACGGUGACCUCAUGCACUGCUGUCCCCGAUAGCACCGGGCUCCUCCUGUGCAUGUAAUCUGCUUGGCCCAGGGAACUUCACAUCCAAUCUCCACACAUCUUGCGCCUGGGCAGAGGCCACGCAGAGCAGAGGAGGCAGCUGUCAAGAGAGCGAGACCUCACUGGAGGCCAUCCCAUCACCAAAGGCAGCCACCAGCCAGGCGGAUGUGGCCCUCAUCCAGACCUCCCGCCAGAUGGCCACCCACUGGUCAUUCCAAGACCUCAUCAGGAGCAAAGGCCUCUCUGCCUCUGCCUACCACACGGCUGUGCCCUGCCCUUCAGCUCUCUUCUGAAGGAGAGAGGAGACCCGUGGCAGGACCAGGGUGGGGCAUGAAGCUGGCUCUGGGAGCAGAACGGGCCCUCUGGGGGUGUGUGAACCCUUCCAGUCACAGACGGACGCCAGCCAUGCCCAGGACCUCGGGAAUGCUCACACCAGCACGAGGGUGAGGCCAGUUAGCACAUCUUUGACAACCUCGCAGAGGAGCAAACCCAGCUGACCUGCCUCAGAAGGGCUGCCAGAGCCCACAAAUACAAAUAUAGGAUGUCCGAAUCAAGGUGUCCACAGAGCCACACUCCCCUCUGGAGCUCCAGGGAAGAACCUGCCCCACGGCGCACUCUUAGCCCCUGCCAUUGUGGUCAUCCUGGGCAUUGCAUUACUCCAUUCUCUGCCUCCCCUGAGCCACAUCCAUUAGAUCGUCACCUGUCUAGAUCUCCCUUUGGGUCCCACUGGGGAGGGGGACUAGUGGCGUUCUCCCUGCACAUCUGUGUGUCGUCACAUGUCCCUGGGUCUGCUGUCU
RNAcentral lists this long non-coding RNA (892 nucleotides) under Homo sapiens (human). RNAcentral's name for it is "HSALNT0232456". Lineage: Eukaryota; Metazoa; Chordata; Mammalia; Primates; Hominidae. The record is from RNAcentral.